This 433-nucleotide ribosomal RNA is filed under the name uncultured bacterium. RNAcentral describes it as "partial 16S ribosomal RNA". It matches the Rfam family "Bacterial small subunit ribosomal RNA", at positions 29 to 507 of the family's 1533-position model. The record is from RNAcentral.
AACGAACGCUGGCGGCAUGCCUAACACAUGCAAGUCGAACGAAGCCUUCGGGCUUAGUGGCGCACGGGUGCGUAACGCGUGGGAAUCUGCCCCUUGCUUCGGAAUAACAGUUAGAAAUGACUGCUAAUACCGGAUGAAGUCUUCGGACCAAAGAUUUAUCGGCAAGGGAUGAGCCCGCGUAGGAUUAGGUAGUUGGUGGGGUAAAGGCCUACCAAGCCGACGAUCCUUAGCUGGUCUGAGAGGAUGAUCAGCCACACUGGGACUGAGACACGGCCCAGACUCCUACGGGGGGCAGGAAUUGGGAAUAUUGGACAAUGGACGCAAGUCUGAUCCAGCAAUGCCGCGUGAGUGAUGAAGGCCUUAGGGUUGUAAAGCUCUUUUACCAGGGAUGAUAAUGACAGUACCUGGAGAAUAAGCUCCGGCUAACUCCGUG